UCUGUACCUGUAAUAUUGUUAUGUACAUUGCGAAGAGGUAGAAACACAUGUGUUUAAUAUUGUAUGUAUCUAUUUAUAUAAAUCGAUAAGAAAAAUAAUUAAAUAAACGCGUAUUUCCUGUGUCCCAGAUAGAAAGUCUGAUAUACAAAUUUGUUAGGCAGUCUGAAGAGAAGUGAGGAGAGUGUUAAAUUUGCCUGAGGUGUAUUAUGUUGAUAAUAUUAAACAUAUUCGAUCAUAAGAGUCACUAAGUUAUUCUUCAAUAUUAUUUCGUUGCAUUGCUAAACAACAUGGACCAAGAAGUUAUCCAGUAUUCUCAAUGAAUAAAAUAAAAUAAAAUAAUUUUUAAUUAUAAUUAAAUUAUUUAAUAAAGAUUAAGUUAUUUUCAAUAACCAAACUUGGCUUAUGAGAUCUGUGAUGUAGAAGGUACAGUAAAUUACUAUUAUUAUUGAAUUUACAAAAAUAUGUUACUUGUUAAUACUUUAUUUCAAACGUCAAUAAUAAUUUGUUGUUAAACACCAUCCAUAUCUUUGGGAAUAGCACAAUGUUCAACUAAAUUUAGCGCUGGAACGUAUACUUUGAAGGAAUGGUCGUUUUUUGAAAAUGAUCCUGGAUUGAUUAUAUGACAAUUAGAAUAGGUAGUUUCAUAUGCUUCAAAU
Molecule: long non-coding RNA, 656 nt
Organism: Bombus huntii
Lineage: Eukaryota; Metazoa; Arthropoda; Insecta; Hymenoptera; Apidae
Exons: 2
Source: RefSeq, a predicted model, not a curated record